Molecule: long non-coding RNA, 241 nt
Organism: Siniperca chuatsi (mandarin fish)
Lineage: Eukaryota; Metazoa; Chordata; Actinopteri; Centrarchiformes; Sinipercidae
Exons: 3
Source: RefSeq, a predicted model, not a curated record
GUCACAGUCCAUUCAAUAAGCCACAAAGAAGACAUCCUAUUGUAAAAGUGAAAAAUGAUUUCCAUCUACAUGAUCAUCACAGCUCUGGUGCCAACGGCUCUGGCAAAAGGUACAGUUGAAGGGUCUAUGGAUUGCAAUUUAUCUGAACCUACGGGAGCUCAGCAGUGUUUUGGAGCACUUGGGGAGCCAUUGAUUUUUCACCUGCCUACAAAUAUAAAACUACAGUUGACAAAGAAUGGUG